Molecule: long non-coding RNA, 236 nt
Filed under: Brassica rapa (field mustard)
Lineage: Eukaryota; Viridiplantae; Streptophyta; Magnoliopsida; Brassicales; Brassicaceae
Description: long non-coding RNA (BRAP_LNC001823)
Source: RNAcentral
AUAACAUUAUUAUAAUUAUACAUGAAAUAAAAAAAAUGAAAACCAUAUAAUUUUAACGAUAGCACAUGUAGAGUAUCCAACAUCACAAAUUCAAUCAAAUUAUCAAAACCUCUUACUAAUUGUAAUUAAAAAUUUAACACAUAUGAUUACAGAAAAAUACAAAUAUCAUUACAAAGAAAAAUAUGAGACAGAAAAUUAAUAUUUUACAAUAAAAUAAAACAAAAAAUAUACCCGCC